RNAcentral lists this ribosomal RNA (253 nucleotides) under uncultured bacterium. RNAcentral describes it as "partial 16S ribosomal RNA". It matches the Rfam family "Bacterial small subunit ribosomal RNA", at positions 524 to 776 of the family's 1533-position model. The record is from RNAcentral.
UACGUAGGGUGCAAGCGUUAAUCGGAAUUACUGGGCGUAAAGCGUGCGCGGGCGGUUUUGUAAGUCUGACGUGAAAUCCCCGGGCUCAACCUGGGAAUUGCGUUGGAGACUGCAAGGCUAGAAUCUGGCAGAGGGGGGUAGAAUUCCACGUGUAGCAGUGAAAUGCGUAGAGAUGUGGAGGAACACCGAUGGCGAAGGCAGCCCCCUGGGUCAAGAUUGACGCUCAUGCACGAAAGCGUGGGGAGCAAACAGG